Molecule: ribosomal RNA, 599 nt
Filed under: uncultured cyanobacterium
Lineage: Bacteria; Bacillati; Cyanobacteriota
Description: bacterial SSU rRNA
Rfam family: Bacterial small subunit ribosomal RNA
Source: RNAcentral
CAUGCAAGGUCGUACGAGAGUUUUUAACUCUAGUGGCGGACGGGUGAGUAANANGNNAAGAAUUUGCCUUUAGGAGGGGGAUAACAACUGGAAACGGUUGCUAAUACCCCAUAUGCUUUUGAGUGAAAUGGGUUUCCGCCUAAAGAGAAGCUUGCGGCUGAUUAGCUUGUUGGUGAGGUAAUGGCUCACCAAGGCGACGAUCAGUAUCUGGUUUGAGAGGACGAUCAGACACACUGGAACUGAGACACGGUCCAGACUCCUACGGGAGGCAGCAGUGGGGAAUUUUCCGCAAUGGGCGAAAGCCUGACGGAGCAAUACCGCGUGAGGGAUGAAGGCCUAUGGGUUGUAAACCUCUUUUUUCAGGGAGGAACAAAAUGACGUGUACCUGAAGAAUAAGCAUCGGCUAACUCCGUGCCAGCAGCCGCGGUAAGACGGGGGAUGCAAGUGUUAUCCGGAAUCACUGGGCGUAAAGCGUCUGUAGGUGGUUAAGUAAGUCAACUGUUAAAUCUUGAGGCUUAACCUCAAAAUCGCAGUCGAAACUGCUUGACUAGAGUAUAGUAGGGGUAAAGGGAAUUUCCAGUGGAGCGGUGAAAUGCGUA